GAAACUGGAACUGAAUGAGUGGCAAUGAACUUGCUGCUGGUUCCAUUGCAUUGGGCUGGUUUAUAUACACCAAGACAUGUACUCUCUAAGGUACAGCUCUACCAACUACAUACACCUAGGGUACAAGGCUGAAAUCAGCCAACAACUACACUAGUACCAGCCAUACUGCUGGUGUACUUCUACUAGUACAAGUAUGGCCUAUUGCCUUAUACUCUACAGGACUUAGAGACUUGACCAGCCAUGAGAUGAUCUGAUCCACUACAUGUCUCUGUCCUGGACAGGAAGAAGAGAGAAAGGGGGCAGCAGAUUAUGUCUUACAAUCUUCCCCUAAUCUUUGCUGCCCUCAUUUGACUUCCACCAUGCCAAUCAUCUUCCUCAGUUCCUGAAACCGAAGCUUCCCGAGUGACUUGGUGAGGAUGUCAGCGAGUUGUCGACCAGUUUCGACGAACUCGAUGACCAGCUGCCCUCCAUCGACGCAAUCACGAAGAAAAUGAAACUUCACAUCAAUGUGUUUGCUUCGGUCGUGGAGAACUGGGUUCUUUGCCAAUGCUAUGGCCGGCUGAUUGUCCAUCUUCAGUGCCAGUGCCUGAGCUUUACCUCCUGUGAGCUCACUCAGCAACCGCCGGAGCCACACCACCUGGCAUGCUGCCGUCGCUGCCGCGACAUACUCCGCUUCACAAGUGGACAGAGCCACCAUUUCAGUGAUUGCCAGGCAACCGGUGCAGUCCCGAGGAACACAAGCACCCCAGAGGUGCUCCUCCGUCCAUCCACGUCCCCGGCCAUGUCCGCAUCACUGUAAGCCACCAGCUCUGCUUCCCCUGUCCUGGGUGGCGCCUCGCUGAAGACAGACAGCCGAAGCCCACCGCGCUUGGGGAAGAUGAGCCCCAUCUCCGCUGACCCCUGGACGUAACGCAGCAAGCGCUUCACUGCCGCCCAGUGAUCUUCCCGCGGAUCCUCCAUGAAGCGGCUCACAUAGCCGACGGCGAACGCAAUGUCCGGCCGGGUAUGCGUGAGCCACCUCAAACCACCGACGAUGCUCUGGUACAAGGUGGCAUCCACCUUCUCCGCCGUGCUCUGUUUGGAGAGCUUCACGCGCUCCUCCAUCGGUGUAGCCACUGGCUUGCAGCCUACCAUGCCUGCCCUUUCCAGUAGCUUGAGCGCGUACGCCCGCUGGCCAAGGUUGAUGGAGUCCGCCCCCUGCCUCACCUCAAUCCCGAGGUAGUAAGACAGUGAUCCGAGAUCACUCAUCUUGAACUGGCUGGCCAUCUCCUCCUUGAACCGAGCGAUGUCGCUCGCCCGCGCGCCGGUGAUGAUCAAAUCAUCGACGUACACCCCGACGAUGAGGUGCUCCUUCCCCGUCGUCGGGUGUACAGAGCAUGCUCGCUGGCGCAUCGUGUGAAUCCAAGCUCCGUCAUGGUGGCGUCGAGCUUGGCAUUCUAGGCGCGCGGAGCUUGACGCAGUCCAUACAGCGCCUUCCGAAGCCGCAGCACUUUCUGCUCCUGCCCCGCCUGCACGAAUCCUGGCGGUUGCUUGACGAAGACCACCUCCGCCAAGUCGCCAUUGAGGAAGGCAGACUUGACGUCGAGGUGGUGGACCUGCCAGUCCUUGGCCGCCGGGAGCGCAAGCAGGAGUCGCACCGACUCCAUGCGCGCCACUGGUGCGAAGACCUCCUCGAAGUCAACUCCUUCCCGCUGCACGAAUCCGCGGGCGACGAGCCGUGCCUUGUGCUUCACGAUGGCGCCUCGCUCGUCGCACUUGACCUUGUACACCCAUUUGAGCCCGAUCGGUCGGCAUCCCGCCGGUGGAUCGACAAGCUCCCAGGUGCGGUUGUCCUCAAUGGACUUCAUCUCCUCGAGCAUCGCACGCCGCCAUGCUCCAUCGCGCUCCGCAGCUGCAAACGUGCCCGGCUCCUCUGCGCUCAUCAAGAGCAAAGUGUGGGCACCGUCGUCGAGCAGCCGAUCGGCCAGUCCUGGCACGGCUGCCUCCCCGACCACGUUGUCCACCCGCCGGAACCGCACCUCCUCCCCUUCAUGGAAGGCAUCCACGAAAUCUGAGACGUUGGAAGGUGGCGAGGCGUACUCCACAGUGGCCGCAGCUGGUGUCCUCUGCUCGGGUGAGCCAGGGAACUCUUCCCAGGCCGGCCCGGGCGUAUCCAGGUGCCCAGUCCUGCCUGGACUGGGUGGCUCCUCUGCUGCAACUGGUGACUCGACACCUCUCCCGGCUGCAGGCUCUGGUGACUGCUCAGCCGCUGUGCCAUGACCUUGAAUCACCAGGUGUUCGACGUCGAAGGAGUCGUUGAUGCCACCGCCUUCUGAUGCUCCCCCCAAAUCGGUCUCCUCCUCCCACCUCCAGGCAGCCGCCUCAUCAAAGACGACAUCUCGGGACACCAUCACCUUCCCGCCAGCCGGAUCGUAGAGCCUGUAGGCCUUGGACCCAUCCUCGUAGCCAAGGAACACUGCCUUGGUGCUCCUAUCUUCCAGCUUGUGAAGCCCUGGCUUGGUGGUGCGCACAUGGCCAAUGCAGCCGAAUGUGCGCAUGAACGAGACACUAGGCUUGCGCCCAUGCCAUGCCUCGAACGGUGUCUGUCCUUUCAGCGCCUUGGUGGGAGCCCGGUUGAGGAUGAAAACGGCCGUGCUCACCGCCUCGCCCCAGAAAGCUCCCGGCAUCUUCGCCUUCAUCAUCAAACGCGCCAUCCCAACGAUGGUCUGGUUCCGGCGUUCCACCACGCCGUUCUGCUGAGGAGAAUAGGGCGCAGUGAGAUGGCGCCCCACCCCCUCCUCGGCGCAGUAGGUGGCGAAUUCUAUCGCCGUGAACUCGCCGCCGCGGUCUGUCCUCAGCACCUUCAGCUUCUUCCCGGACUCCACCUCCACCCGCGCCUUAAAGCGCCUGAUGGCGUCCGCUGCCUCGGCCUUGCUCGUUAGAAGCUGCAGCCACAUGUAGCGGCUGCAAUCAUCUACGAGCAGGAGGAAGUACCUCCGCCCGCCGUGGGUCGCCGGCGUGAUUGGUCCGCAGAGGUCCCCAUGGACCAGCUCGAGCAGCUCCUCUGCGCGACGCUUGGCUGCCUUGGGGAACGGCAGCCGCCUCUGCUUCCCCGCCAAGCAGCUGUCGCAGAGCUCGCCUGCGUGCCUGAUCUCCGGUAGACCGUCCACCAUCUUCCCGAGCCGGCCCAGCGCAUCGAAGUUGAGAUGGCCGAACCGGCCAUGCCACAACCAUGGCUUCUCUGUGCACGCUGCUGCUAGGCACACUGGUUGCUCGAUCUUCAAAUCAAGGAGGUAAAGUCGGUUGCGUGAUCGCUUUACCUUUGCCAGGAGCCGACCGUCCUAGUCCCUGAUCCGGAGCACGCCGCCGCGGAUGAGCACCUCCGCGCCGUGCUCGUCCAGCUGUCCCAAGCUGACGAUGCUCGACCGGAGUUCGGGGAUGUAGUAGACCUCCGAGAGCGCUCGGUGUUCCCCGUUCUUGCACCUGAACAGCACCGUCCCUCGUCCGCGGAUCUCCACCCGAGAGCCGUCCCCGAACCGGACGCUCCCGGCAUGCUUCUCGUCCAGCUCGGAGAAGGCGGCGCGGCAGCCUGUCAUGUGAUUGCUCGCGCCGGAAUCCAGGUACCACCGCUGCUCGGACUCAUCUCCAGCGACUCCAAGAUGGACCUGCGCUCGCGGCUCAUCAAAGUGAUGGAUAGCCAGCGGCGCAGGAUUCUGCUCCGCCUCCAACCCUUCUUCUCUGCCGCUCUGCUCCGCGCAGUACACCCCCAUUAGGAGUGCGUGAUCGCCGUCGCUGUCGUCCUGAGCCAGGUGCGCCUCAUCCUUCUUCUCCUUGCGCUCCGGGCACUCCCGCGCCCAGUGCCCAACCUUGCCGCACUUGCGGCAGGCAUUCGGGUCAGUGAACUUCUUCUUGCCCUUCCUCUUGUCCGCCGGCCCCUUGUUCUGCUGCUUGCCGCCGCCGCGAUCGCCGCCACCACGGCUGGAGCCUUCCCCGGACCGCCUCUUCUCCUUCAUGCGUGCUGACCACUCCUCCUCGGUCAGCAGGAGCUUGGGCUUCUCCUUCUCCGGCGCCGGCGUGGUGCGGCUCUCUGCUACCCGCAGCCGCCCGGCCACGUCCUCCAGAGACAGCGUGGAGAUGUCCAGCAUGGUCUCGAUGGACAUGGCGAGCUGCGAGUAUCUUGCCGGCACGGUGCACAGCAGCUUGGUGACGAGGUCCUCGUCGUCCACCUUCUUGCCGUAGGUGGCCAGUUGCGUGGCCAGGGACUGGAGGCGAAGGGUGAAGUCCUCCACCGACUCCCCGGGCUUGAACUUGAUGUCGUUCAGCUCCCUGCGCAGCUGCUGAAUCCUCGCCCUCUUAGCUCGAUCCGAGCCAAUGCGCAGGGACUCCAGCAUCUCCUAGGCCUGCUUCGCGGUGUCCUUCGCGCCCAGCGCCUCAUGGUACUCCGCCGGCGUCGAGGCCAUGAGCGCCUCCAUGACUCCCACCUGGGCGUCCUCGGUGCGGUCAUCCUCCUCAAUCGCCCGCCACCACUUGCGCGCGCGAAGCUUCCACUUCAUCUGCGUCGCCCAUUCACCGUAGUUGGUGCGAGUGAGCAUGGGCCAGGAGCCGCUGCCACCGAACUCCUUUACCACGCGCACCUCCACCUGCGGUGGCGCCGGCUGGAGCUGUCGCUCACCACCUUCCCCGCCACCAUUCCGGCCCGCACUCUCCGCCAUCGCUGGUCAGGGGACCAAGCUACGGCUUGUACGGCUCUGAUACCACUUGUUGGCACAACAACCCUGCACCGAGGUGAGCAGCACCUGCUCUCCUCUCCUCUCCCUCUCCCCUGCUUCAAGGUAGAAGAAAAGCCCUGAGCUACUACUGCACACGCACACAGCACACACACAGUUUCAGACUUGAACUGAAACUGGAACUGAAUGAGUGGCAAUGAACUUGCUGCUGGUUCCAUUGCAUUGGGCUGGUUUAUAUACACCAAGACAUGUACUCUCUAAGGUACAGCUCUACCAACUACAUACACCUAGGGUACAAGGCUGAAAUCAGCCAACAACUACACUAGUACCAGCCAUACUGCUGGUGUACUUCUACUAGUACAAGUAUGGCCUAUUGCCUUAUACUCUACAGGACUUAGAGACUUGACCAGCCAUGAGAUGAUCUGAUCCACUACAUGUCUCUGUCCUGGACAGGAAGAAGAGAGAAAGGGGGCAGCAGAUUAUGUCUUACAUUGAGCACUUGAGCAUAUUGUCUAUCUCGUGAUUUGCAUUUGUUACUCUUGGACUCUUCGGUCCUAGACGGUUAGGCGUCGCCAGAGAGCUCCCAAGUGUUUGUGGUUGCCUCGGAUUGUUUGUGCAGGUCAAAUUUCGCCUCCGCGAGGGAAGAAAUCAGCUAGUGGAAAGAGGAUUUGGAGUUGAAAGAGACUCCGGCUAGAGUUUCCUUCGCGAUAUCCUC
This 5421-nucleotide long non-coding RNA is filed under the name Sorghum bicolor (sorghum). Its description in RNAcentral is "long non-coding RNA (SBIC_LNC002313)". The record is from RNAcentral. Lineage: Eukaryota; Viridiplantae; Streptophyta; Magnoliopsida; Poales; Poaceae.